This 141-nucleotide ribosomal RNA is filed under the name Myotis volans. Its description in RNAcentral is "partial 16S ribosomal RNA". The record is from RNAcentral. Lineage: Eukaryota; Metazoa; Chordata; Mammalia; Chiroptera; Vespertilionidae.
AACUAAUUAUAGCUCAAAACACACUAUAUACAAUUAUCCCAACAACAUUAAAAUAAAACAUUCACAACAACAAGAGUAUGGGUGAUAGAAAUUCUAUAUUGACGCUAUAGAGAAAGUACCGUAAGGGAAAAAAUGAAAGAA